AGCUAGCAGUGGAAUCCAGGACGCGCGUUCCGUCCUAUAUGGGACUCAUCAGCUGGGUACACCUGCAUGAGCUGAUGUUCACUCUGGGACUCGAACCCAGUACCUUUUGCUUCAAAAUAGGACGAAACGCGCGUCCUGGAU
Molecule: non-coding RNA, 141 nt
Filed under: Schistosoma mansoni
Lineage: Eukaryota; Metazoa; Platyhelminthes; Trematoda; Strigeidida; Schistosomatidae
Source: RNAcentral